This is a long non-coding RNA of Spinacia oleracea (spinach), 460 nucleotides long. RefSeq lists it as uncharacterized. The transcript is spliced from 3 exons. The record is from RefSeq and is a predicted model, not a curated record. NCBI's taxonomy places the organism in Eukaryota, Viridiplantae, Streptophyta, Magnoliopsida, Caryophyllales, Amaranthaceae.
CCUAGCCGUGUAUACAAUGAUCUCUCAAUGAAAAUCAUGCCUCCGUACUGCUAUCAGCCUAUCACCAUUCUUAUCAUCCCUCCAUCAAUAUUAGAAAAGUGUUAGGCUUCAAAAUCACCAUUACCCUUCUCCUUCGGAUGUUGGAUCCUAUACCAUCAUAAAUGUCGAUUGAUUGUUGCUCUGCUAUCUCUGCUCACUACAAUUAGGCGAACCCUUCUUCCUCCUCGUCGUGGAUGAGGGAUACUGAUAAAGGAUGUUACUAUACACUUUCGGGGAUUGACGUGCUCAAGGUUGGUAAAGGUACUUGGCUAUGAGUGAGGAGACGCUUAGAAUAACCACCUAGUCAAGAGACAAUUUCUAUUCCAGUCUAAGUUGGAUUUUGUUAUUUAUUUUAUUGGGAUUAAUUGGUUGUAAUAUUUUAUUGGCCACCUUUAGACCACUUAGUUAAUUUUGACUUUAA